RNAcentral lists this ribosomal RNA (492 nucleotides) under uncultured bacterium. Its description in RNAcentral is "partial 16S ribosomal RNA". It matches the Rfam family "Bacterial small subunit ribosomal RNA", at positions 29 to 507 of the family's 1533-position model. The record is from RNAcentral.
AGUGAACGCUGGCGGUAGGCUUAACACAUGCAAGUCGAACGGCAGCACAGUAAGAGCUUGCUCUUACGGGUGGCGAGUGGCGGACGGGUGAGGAAUAUAUCGGAAUCUACUCUUUCGUGGGGGAUAACGUAGGGAAACCUACGCCAAUACAGCAUACGCCGCACGGGUGAAAGCAGGGGAUAUUUGGACCUUGUGCGAUUGAAUGAGCCGAUGUUGGAUUAGCUAGUUGGCGGGGUAAAGGCCCACCAAGGCGACGAGACGUAGCUGGUCUGAGAGGAUGAUCGGCCGCACUAGAGCUUAGACACGGACCAGGCUCCUACGAGAGGCAGCAGUGGGGAAUAUUAGACAGUAGUGGCGAACCUGAUCCAGCCGUACCGCGUGGGUGGAGGAGGCCUUCCGGUUGUGAAGCCCUUUUGUUGGGUAAGAAAAGCAGCAGGUUGAGACCCCGCUUUUCUGACGGUACCCGGUAAAUAAGCACCGGCUAACUUCGUG